RNAcentral lists this transfer RNA (67 nucleotides) under Marmota monax (woodchuck). RNAcentral's name for it is "tRNA.Ala". Lineage: Eukaryota; Metazoa; Chordata; Mammalia; Rodentia; Sciuridae. The record is from RNAcentral.
GGUUGUGGCUUAGUGGUAGAGCGCUUGCCUAGCAUGUGUGAGGCCCUGGGUUUGAUUCUCAACACCA